AAGUCGUAACAAGGUUUCCGUAGGUGAACCUGCGGAAGGAUCAUUAACACGUAUGGUGACACUUUCAGACACCAACAAGCAGAGGAAUGCCAGGCCACUUGCCUCACGCUCAAGCACAGUCUACGCAGAAGUCCCUGAAUCAAAACUGUUCAGCAAUGAUUUACCAGGGAUUGCUACCUUUUCUAAGAAAGUGCGAGCGCACUGAAGGUUCACGGGGGGUUUAACGUUGGAUACUGUACGAAUGGCGCAGUCACGAUCGCUAGAGGCCGACACGGCCGGCGACCGGGUCACUGGGCGCGAGCCCCCCUCGUCACCUUUGCAUGAAAACGGGCCUGCGCUUAAUUGUGCGGCCACCAAACUCGAACAACUGUUAACAAUGGAUAUCUUGGUUCUC
This 394-nucleotide unclassified non-coding RNA is filed under the name fungal sp. RNAcentral's name for it is "partial internal transcribed spacer region". The stretch from base 1 to 46 matches the Rfam family "Eukaryotic small subunit ribosomal RNA", at positions 1786 to 1831 of the family's 1831-position model. The record is from RNAcentral. Lineage: Eukaryota; Fungi.